AGAGUUUGAUCAUGGCUCAGAGCGAACGCUGGCGGCGCGCUUAACACAUGCAAGUCGAGCGAACCAAGAUGGAGGUAACUUCAUUUUUGGUUAGCGGCGAAUGGGUGAGUAACACGUGGGUAACUUACCCUCAGGAGGGGGAUAACUCGGGGAAACUUGAGCUAAUACCCCAUAAGACCACGGAUUGAAAUAUCAGUGGUAAAAGGAGCAAUCCACCUGAGGAUAGGCCCGCGGCCUAUCAGGUAGUUGGUAGGGUAAUGGCCUACCAAGCCUAUGACGGGUAGCCGGGCUGAGAGGCUGAUCGGCCACACUGGGACUGAGACACGGCCCAGACUCCUACGGGAGGCAGCAGUGGGGAAUAUUGGGCAAUGGGCGAAAGCCUGACCCAGCGACGCCGCGUGGGGGAAGAAGGCCUUCGGGUUGUAAACCCCUUUUGUAGGGGACGAAUUGAGACGGUACCCUACGAAUAAGCCACGGCUAACUCUGUGCCAGCAGCCGCGGUAAGACAGAGGUGGCAAGCGUUGCUCGGAUUCACUGGGCUUAAAGGGCGCGUAGGCGGCCUUGUAAGUCUGGGGUGGAAUUCCAUAGCUUAACUAUGGAACUGCCCUGGAAACUAUAAGGCUUGAGUCAAGUAGAGGAGGGCGGAAUUCCCGGUGUAGCGGUGAAAUGCGUAGAUAUCGGGAGGAAGGCCAGUGGCGAAAGCGGCCCUCUGGGCUUGUACUGACGCUGAGGCGCGAAAGCGUGGGGAGCAAACUGGAUUAGAUACCCCUGGUAGUCCACGCCCUAAACCGGGGGCACUAGGUGUGGGGUCCUUAUGGAUUCUGUGCCCAAGGGAAACCAUUUAAUGCCCCGUCUGGGGGAGUACGGCCGCAGGUUGAAACUCAAAGGAAUUGACGGGGCCCGCCAAUCCGUGGAUCAUGUGGUUUAAUUUCCAAGUAA
This 939-nucleotide ribosomal RNA is filed under the name uncultured bacterium. Its description in RNAcentral is "bacterial SSU rRNA". It matches the Rfam family "Bacterial small subunit ribosomal RNA", at positions 8 to 959 of the family's 1533-position model. The record is from RNAcentral.